ACUUCCCUGCCUGGUUGGUGUAGGUAGCGGGAUCAUUUGAGCCAACACGAAUUCCAGGGGGUCCGGGAACGGCCGAUAGGGGAACCCUGUGGGGCGCCCGAAGCGGCCGGGGAAGGAGCCCACUUGGACGGACUCGGUUCGAAUGUCCGCUUCACACGGCCGAGGCGGGGAGGUC
RNAcentral lists this small RNA (175 nucleotides) under Candidatus Eiseniibacteriota bacterium. Its description in RNAcentral is "6S RNA". The record is from RNAcentral. Lineage: Bacteria; Candidatus Eiseniibacteriota.